ACCUAUAGAUUUAGUACAAUAGUUUUCCAUAUCACUUUUUCAAAAAGGCUAAGACAAGGGUAUAUCUAAGUUUGUUAAGAAUCCAAAUUGACCAUAUGACCAUAUGAUAGCUCUUCGUCAGCCACAAACUCUGUCAUGAAGUAGCAACGGGUAUUUGACAACUCAGUUAGCUUUUCUAUUUAGGGCAAGUGUUUCAAGUUCAUCUUCCCUUGUUCUUCUCCAAGCUGGCUAUCUUCAUAUUCAAUGUUGUCAAUACUAAGUGAUCUUACACGAGCCAGUGUAAAUGACCUAGAAUCUUAACCUGCUCCAUUAUUUGUAAACAAACACCAAAAACUUCUAAUUGCAUGUUAGAUCUUCCAAGUUCUAGAAAAAUUAAGAAAAUGUAAGUUUAUUCAGGACUCUCCAUUAAUAGUAUCAUGUGGAAUGAUGCUUGAGAGAGAGUGAUGACAUUAGACGAUAAAUCAAGCAUUUCUAAUUUCUUCAACCUUGUGAUUAACCAAAAGGAAUCCAUUUAAGUUAUUUUAUUUGUCUUAGAUACAAAAACUCUGGGAGUGAAAUGAUGUUUGUGCCCAAAAUAUUCAAAUAUUGGAGCUUCACAGAUUGCAUAUUUCCUUGUGAAAAUUCUUUGUGGAUGAUAAUGAUGAGAGGUCCAAAAAGGAUAGGUUUAGACGAUAUUGCUAAUUUGAUAAUGAUGAUGAUGAGAAGUUUAACAACAGUGUCUAGUAUUUCUUAAUUUUAAAUAACUAACCAAAAAGUCAUUUCAUGCAAAAUAGGAUGAAACUUUACACAAGAUUACUUUGAAUAUUUGUGAUUAUUGUCAACUUUCUAUAACAGACCAACUAUAAGUAUAUUAGUGAUGAUGAUGUGACCCUGACACAUGCAUGAUUCGUAUCCAAUAAACCUAGUCUAGUCCACCACUAAAAUAAGCAUAUUAAAAAGCAACCUCUCACUCUCUCCUCCAAACAGUCAUAACUACCUUUCAAGCUAUGAAACCUAUCACUAUUACCUGUGUUGGUUACUAACCAAAUAUGAGAGAUGUGGGUAGAGAGAGAUAAAUGAGUCACCGACCAC
RNAcentral lists this long non-coding RNA (1071 nucleotides) under Sorghum bicolor (sorghum). RNAcentral describes it as "long non-coding RNA (SBIC_LNC001329)". Lineage: Eukaryota; Viridiplantae; Streptophyta; Magnoliopsida; Poales; Poaceae. The record is from RNAcentral.